RNAcentral lists this ribosomal RNA (363 nucleotides) under uncultured bacterium. RNAcentral's name for it is "bacterial SSU rRNA". It matches the Rfam family "Bacterial small subunit ribosomal RNA", at positions 28 to 395 of the family's 1533-position model. The record is from RNAcentral.
GAUGAACGCUAGCGGCAGGCCUAAUACAUGCAAGUCGAACGCUCAGUAGCAAUACUGGGAGUGGCGCACGGGUGCGUAAACGCGUACACAAUCUACCUCUAAGCGGGGACACCUCCUGGAAACGGGGAUUAAUACCGCAUAAUAUGCCGAAGUCGCAUGACUUUGGUAUUAAAGCAGCAAUGCACUUAGAGAUGAGUGUGCGUCCCAUUAGGUAGUUGGUGAGGUUAACGGCUCACCAAGCCUAUGAUGGGUAGCCGGUCUGAGAGGAUGGUCGGCCACACGGGCACUGAGACACGGGCCCGACUCCUACGGGAGGCAGCAGUAAGGAAUAUUGGUCAAUGGUGGAAACACUGAACCAGCCAU